GUGGGGAAUAUUGGACAAUGGGCGAAAGCCUGAUCCAGCCAUGCCGCGUGUGUGAAGAAGGUCUUCGGAUUGUAAAGCACUAUAAGUUGGGAGGAAGGGCAGUAAGUUAAUACCUUGCUGUUUUGACGUUACCGACAGAAUAAGCACCGGCUAACUUCGUGCCAGCAGCCGCGGUAAUACGAAGGGUGCAAGCGUUAAUCGGAAUUACUGGGCGUAAAGCGCGCGUAGGUGGUUUUGUAAGUUGGAGGUGAAAUCCCCGGGCUCAACCUGGGUACUGCCUCCAAAACUGCAUGACUAGAGUACGGUAGAUGGUAGUGUAAUUUCCUGUGUAGCGGUGAAAUGCGUAGAUAUAGGAAGGAACACCAGUGGCGAAGGCGACUACCUGGACUGAUACUGACACUGAGGUGCGAAAGCGUGGGGAGCAAACAGGAUUAGAAACCCUAGUAGUCC
RNAcentral lists this ribosomal RNA (450 nucleotides) under uncultured bacterium. RNAcentral describes it as "partial 16S ribosomal RNA". It matches the Rfam family "Bacterial small subunit ribosomal RNA", at positions 354 to 796 of the family's 1533-position model. The record is from RNAcentral.